RNAcentral lists this long non-coding RNA (726 nucleotides) under Mytilus galloprovincialis (Mediterranean mussel). Lineage: Eukaryota; Metazoa; Mollusca; Bivalvia; Mytilida; Mytilidae. The record is from RNAcentral.
CUAAUAUUUUAAUAAAUAAUUAUCAAAAGGUAAGUGUAUAAUAACCAAUACAAGAUGACAUUUAGAUGUAAAUUGCUGUAUAUCAUAUUAUUAAUAAAUUCACCUACAAUUUGUCUGGUAAAAAAUGGUAUAUCAAUACCCAAUGAAAUAAAUAUGUAACAACCCAUUUUAUAAUGUGUAAACAACCUUUCUUCUGUAUAAAAAUGUUAAUGUUAACAAUUAACAAGAAUAAAUUCAAUAAACUUUAAAUAAAUUCAAAAUCUCUUAUUUCUCAAAAGCAUAAAAUAUAAAUGCAUAAUAAACAAGAUUUAACAGUAUAUAAUAAAAAAAAAGAAGGAUGAAGUAUCAAUCCAACACAAAAUCAGUACAUGCACAGAAAAAAAAAACCCACAAAAAGCAAUCAUUGAUGUUCAACAUCUCAAUCACAUCACCUCAUCUCAGUGCAAGUUGAAGACAGCCCUUAGCACCUGUUUGAGUGGACUUCAUAGUAUGAAAGGAGUGUAUGAAUAUUUAUAACAGUACUAAAAAUUCAGAAAUUAUUGUGUGCAUUUAUUAUUACAAUUCACACUAAAAAUUCAGAAAUUAUUGUGUGCAUUUAUUAUUACAAUUCAUAGACUAAAAUGCAAUUCUAAUUUUUGCAAUAUUGAGAAAAAUCUUGUUAAAUUCAUAUAAAAAAUUUCAAAAAGGAAGUUUAAGUUAUUGUGAUUAUUACCCUGGCACAUUUUU